Molecule: transfer RNA, 52 nt
Filed under: Lygodactylus arnoulti
Lineage: Eukaryota; Metazoa; Chordata; Lepidosauria; Squamata; Gekkonidae
Description: tRNA-Cys
Source: RNAcentral
GGGAAAGAGCAAAGUGCAAAUUUGCAAGAGCACCUUAAAAGGUGCCCCGGCU